UUGCCGACCGUGAGUGAGGUAGGCAUGGAGAGGAAUUUCAUAUACGUACAAGUUGCAUGCGUCUUUCUGUUCUUGGCAUUCUUAAUAUCGACUCCUGAAGGUCAGCUUCGAUUUCCUUUUCCAAAAGUUCGCGUUUAUGAUAAGCGUUGCACCCACAGUAUGCAAUGCAAAUUUGGCGAGUGUUGCCGAAGAAAGCACAACAAAACGACAUGUCAUCCGAAAGCACGCUACGGCGGACGGAUGCACAGAGAGACCAAUCCGUGGGAUCUAUAAGCAAUAUUGCAAUUGUUAUAUGCUUCAAGGAACGUGUGUUAAUAACAUAUGCAUGUAACCAAGAGUCCGUCGUAAUUACUGUCCCAAUUUCUUAUACAGUGAAAACACCGGUGAGCAUCCAGUUGAGUUGAAAAACCUUUCAUCAUAUUUAUUGAAUAAAGAUUUAGACAUCUAACUU
This is a long non-coding RNA of Rhipicephalus sanguineus (brown dog tick), 451 nucleotides long. RefSeq lists it as uncharacterized. NCBI's taxonomy places the organism in Eukaryota, Metazoa, Arthropoda, Arachnida, Ixodida, Ixodidae. The record is from RefSeq and is a predicted model, not a curated record. The transcript is spliced from 3 exons.